Anopheles coluzzii is the source of this 1269-nucleotide long non-coding RNA. RefSeq lists it as uncharacterized. The transcript has 2 exons. The record is from RefSeq and is a predicted model, not a curated record. NCBI's taxonomy places the organism in Eukaryota, Metazoa, Arthropoda, Insecta, Diptera, Culicidae.
AUAAAUAAAAAAACAAGAAAAAAUAAUGUGGAUUAAUUAGUUGACUCGAUGAUAGCGGGAUGCGAAGCGGGCGUAAUCGACAGAACAAUUAGGAUCAUAGAACACACACACACAUAUAUGUAUAUGCCACGUGGAAAAAAACGUUUGAUUGGUGUAACGUUUUUUUACUAAAAUGAACAAGUCCAUCUGGAACGUCAAGCAAAAGGUCCCAGGUAUAUUGGUUAUUCGUAACACAAAAUAGAGUAAUUGGUUUAAUCACCAAAUAUGCUAUUUCCAUCAGUAUUAACAGGUAGAGCGUCUAGCAAGACGAAAUAAGCCAUCGGCUUUACAAUUUGAUUGUAAAAUCGGGAUGAAUAUGCGCAAGUUCUAAUUGCUAUUCACGUCUAAAUAUUCUCUUAUAAUUUACUAAUGGAACUAAUGGUACUUUAAUGGUAGAUGGUACGAAAAAAAUCGAUUUUUGGAGACAAAUGGUAUCAGUUUUGCGAUGUCACACAGGUACAACUCGUGUGUUGGAUCAGGAGUACAACGUACAGUCAAAGUCAAGUAGAUGCGGUCGAUAUUAUCUUCCACAGCAUAAGCAGGAAGAGUCUAGGUCGCAUCCGGACGCCAGGAAAGAUGAUAUUGUUAUCACAGGAUUUUUUUUUCAUUUGUUUAAGAAAGAGAACAAUAUAAUAUAUAUGUAAUUAAAGAUGAGAGAGAGAAAGAGAGAGAAAAAGAGAAAAGAGAAAAACCAAACGUAGACAAAAAAGAAAGAAAAAACUGCCAACGGCCUCGUUCCCAGGCUUUGUUCACAUAUAUACUGUUGCGGUGUUGAGAUGGUGACGAUGAUUAUAGGAUGGUUCAACCAGGACGAGAAGCACAGAAACACACACGCGCACUCGGACAGAGCAUGUCCUUGCAGAAUAGCGAGCGUCGUCCCACAUAUCGAGCCUACAAAAUACAUCCCAUUUUCGUGGCCCAUUCCGACGAUGGCUGAGGAGAACAGUGGAAGUACUACUACUAUUUAUGCAAAGGAUUAUGUUGGCUACUACCGUUGUAUCGUCUCAAGAAGUUAGAAUUGUACAAUUAUACUCAACAACACGCGCAUACAUGAUGGUUCAGUUAGCCUAAUCUUGGAGGCAAGCACGGUUCAUUCAAACAAAGCUGUUCAAAUAUAACACGUCAUCGAAUCACGAACAAUCCCCAGUUCGCUGAAAGUACGAUUAAAGAGAACACAUAGAUUGAACAAAACAAAACAGAGAGAGAGAGAGAGAGAGAAAGAGAGAGAAA